AAGUCGUAACAAGGUCUCCGUUGGUGAACCAGCGGAGGGAUCAUUACCGAGUUUACAACUCCCAAACCCCUGUGAACAUACCUAUCGUUGCUUCGGCGGACCACCCCAACCCCUUCGGGGCGCGGGGCCCGCCAGAGGACACCCAAAAUUCAAAUGUAUUUUGCCUUUACAAAUUUAUUCUGAGUGGAAUUUUUAAAUAAAUCAAAACUUUCAACAACGGAUCUCUUGGCUCUG
RNAcentral lists this unclassified non-coding RNA (234 nucleotides) under Cylindrocarpon sp. RNAcentral's name for it is "partial contains small subunit ribosomal RNA, internal transcribed spacer 1, and 5.8S ribosomal RNA". The stretch from base 1 to 46 matches the Rfam family "Eukaryotic small subunit ribosomal RNA", at positions 1786 to 1831 of the family's 1831-position model. Lineage: Eukaryota; Fungi; Ascomycota; Sordariomycetes; Hypocreales; Nectriaceae. The record is from RNAcentral. RNAcentral also lists the same sequence under 2 other names.